This 764-nucleotide ribosomal RNA is filed under the name uncultured Inocybe. Its description in RNAcentral is "partial 28S ribosomal RNA". It matches the Rfam family "Eukaryotic large subunit ribosomal RNA", at positions 216 to 962 of the family's 3401-position model. The record is from RNAcentral. Lineage: Eukaryota; Fungi; Basidiomycota; Agaricomycetes; Agaricales; Cortinariaceae.
GAAUCCCGUCUUUGACACGGACUACCGAGGCUUUGUGGUGCGCUCUCAAAGAGUCGAGUUGUUUGGGAAUGCAGCUCAAAAUGGGUGGUAAAUUCCAUCUAAAGCUAAAUAUUGGUGAGAGACCGAUAGCGAACAAGUACCGUGAGGGAAAGAUGAAAAGAACUUUGGAAAGAGAGUUAAACAGUACGUGAAAUUGCUGAAAGGGAAACGCUUGAAGUCAGUCGCAUCGUCUGGAAAUCAACCUCGCUCUUGCUGGGUGUACUUUCCGUCCGAUGGGUCAGCAUCAGUUUCAGCUGCUGGACAAGGUCUUUGGGAGCGUGGCAUCUCAGGAUGUGUUAUAGCCCUUGGGCAGAUGCAGUGGCUGGGACUGAGGAGCUCGGCGCGCCGUGAGGCUGGGACGCUUGUCGUCCACACCAACGCGCCUAGGAUGCUGGCAUAAUGGCUUUAAUCGACCCGUCUUGAAACACGGACCAAGGAGUCUAACAUGCCUGCGAGUGUUUGGGUGGAAAACCCAUGCGCGCAAUGAAAGUGAAGGUUGAGAUCCCUGUCGUGGGGAGCAUCGACGCCCAGACCAGACCUUCUGUGACGGCUCUGCGGUAGAGCAUGCAUGUUGGGACCCGAAAGAUGGUGAACUAUGCCUGAAUAGGGUGAAGCCAGAGGAAACUCUGGUGGAGGCUCGUAGCGAUUCUGACGUGCAAAUCGAUCGUCAAAUUUGGGUAUAGGGGCGAAAGACUAAUCGAACCAUCUAGUAGCUGGUUCCUGCC